Molecule: ribosomal RNA, 497 nt
Filed under: uncultured Roseateles sp.
Lineage: Bacteria; Pseudomonadati; Pseudomonadota; Betaproteobacteria; Burkholderiales; Sphaerotilaceae
Description: partial 16S ribosomal RNA
Source: RNAcentral
CACGUAGUUAGCCGGUGCUUAUUCUUCAGGUACCGUCAUGAGUCCCAGGUAUUAGCCAGAACCUUUUCUUCCCUGACAAAAGCGGUUUACAACCCGAAGGCCUUCUUCCCGCACGCGGCAUGGCUGGAUCAGGCUUGCGCCCAUUGUCCAAAAUUCCCCACUGCUGCCUCCCGUAGGAGUCUGGGCCGUGUCUCAGUCCCAGUGUGGCUGGUCGUCCUCUCAGACCAGCUACAGAUCGUCGGCUUGGUGAGCCUUUACCUCACCAACUACCUAAUCUGAUAUCGGCCGCUCCAAUCGCGCGAGGUCUUGCGAUCCCCCGCUUUCACCCUCAGGUCGUAUGCGGUAUUAGCUGCUCUUUCGAGCAGUUAUCCCCCACGACUGGGCACGUUCCGAUACAUUACUCACCCGUUCGCCACUCGUCAGCUUAACCUGUUACCGUUCGACUUGCAUGUGUAAGGCAUGCCGCCAGCGUUCAAUCUGAGCCAGGAUCAAACUCU